RNAcentral lists this ribosomal RNA (492 nucleotides) under uncultured bacterium. RNAcentral describes it as "partial 16S ribosomal RNA". It matches the Rfam family "Bacterial small subunit ribosomal RNA", at positions 29 to 507 of the family's 1533-position model. The record is from RNAcentral.
AGUGAACGCUGGCGGUAGGCCUAACACAUGCCAGUCGAACGGCAGCACAGUAAGAGCUUGCUCUUACGGGUGGCGAGUGGCGGACGGGUGAGGAAUACAUCGGAAUCUACUUUUUCGUGGGGGAUAACGUAGGGAAACUUACGUUAAUACCGCAUACGACCUACGGGUGAAAGCAGGGGAUCUUCGGACCUUGCGCGAUUGAAUGAGCCGAUGUCGGAUUAGCUAGUUGGCGGGGUAAAGGCCCACCAAGGCGACGAUCCGUAGCUGGUCUGAGAGGAUGAUCAGCCACACUGGAACUGAGACACGGUCCAGACUCCUACGGGAGGCAGCAGUGGGGAAUAUUGGACAAUGGGCGCAAGCCUGAUCCAGCCAUACCGCGUGGGUGAAGAAGGCCUUCGGGUUGUAAAGCCCUUUUGUUGGGAAAGAAAAGCAGCAGGUUAAUACCCCGCUGUUCUGACGGUACCCAAAGAAUAAGCACCGGCUAACUUCGUG